Molecule: ribosomal RNA, 559 nt
Filed under: Gigaspora margarita
Lineage: Eukaryota; Fungi; Glomeromycota; Glomeromycetes; Diversisporales; Gigasporaceae
Description: SSU rRNA
Rfam family: Eukaryotic small subunit ribosomal RNA
Source: RNAcentral
UUUUUUUGGGAGGGGCAAUCUGGUGCCAGCAGCCGCGGUAAUUCCAGCUCCAAUAGCGUAUAUUAAAGUUGUUGCAGUUAAAAAGCUCGUAGUUGAAUUUCGGGGUUCUACCGUUGGUCGGGCAAUAGUCUGUACUGGCGUGUAGAAUUUCUACCUUCUGGGGAACCAUCAUGUUAUUUAUUUAGCGUGGUGGGAAACCAGGACCUUUACCUUGAAAAAAUUAGAGUGUUCAAAGCAGGCUUACGUCUGAAUACAUUAGCAUGGAAUAAUAAAAUAGGACGGUGGUCCUGUUUUGUUGGUUUCUGAAUCACCGUAAUGAUUAAUAGGGAUAGUUGGGGGCAUUAGUAUUCAAUUGUCAGAGGUGAAAUUCUUGGAUUUAUUGAAGACUAACUUCUGCGAAAGCAUUUGCCAAGGAUGUUUUCAUUAAUCAAGAACGAAAGUUAGGGGAUCGAAGACGAUCAGAUACCGUCGUAGUCUUAACCAUAAACUAUGCCGACUAGGGAUCGGACGAUGUUAAUUUUUCUUGACUCGUUCGGCGCCUACGGGGGAAAACAAAAAA